ACUCGAGAUGUGGACAGGAAUCUGGUGGAGAAGGCCGUUGGAGCAUGGUUGUGGGUGGCUAGGAGAAGCUUCUGGCACUGGCUGAUGGUUCCUGGAAGGCGACGGUUCAUCGCAACAGCUGGAUGAUCUUCGAUCCCUCAAUCUGCGUUAAAGAAAAACAAAACGGACUGCAAGUGCCCACAACCGAUUGAAGACUGGCAAAAAAGAGCUUUCAAUGGGGGGUUAUCAAACCGGCUGCACUGGCAAAAAGUUUGGUCUAUUUCAAAUUUAGAAAAAACUUUAGAAAUUUAAAAAAUGCCGAAGAUGCUUAGGCGGCACUGUGUAGUGCUUCCCAACAUUUCGACCGGCUAUCAAGGAAAACAAAACGAGUGUGGGAAAAUUUGUCAGUGAAAUCGAACAUAACAACUGAUUUUGAACACAAGUAAAUAACACAUUAG
Molecule: non-coding RNA, 437 nt
Organism: Drosophila melanogaster (fruit fly)
Lineage: Eukaryota; Metazoa; Arthropoda; Insecta; Diptera; Drosophilidae
Source: Ensembl